AUUGAACGCUGGCGGCAUGCCUUACACAUGCAAGUCGAACGGUAACAGGUUAAGCUGACGAGUGGCGAACGGGUGAGUAAUGUAUCGGAACGUGCCCAGUCGUGGGGGAUAACUGCUCGAAAGAGCAGCUAAUACCGCAUACGACCUGAGGGUGAAAGCGGGGGAUCGCAAGACCUCGCGCGAUUGGAGCGGCCGAUAUCAGAUUAGGUAGUUGGUGAGGUAAAGGCUCACCAAGCCGACGAUCUGUAGCUGGUCUGAGAGGACGACCAGCCACACUGGGACUGAGACACGGCCCAGACUCCUACGGGAGGCAGCAGUGGGGAAUUUUGGACAAUGGGCGCAAGCCUGAUCCAGCCAUGCCGCGUGCGGGAAGAAGGCCUUCGGGUUGUAAACCGCUUUUGUCAGGGAAGAAAAGGUUCUGGCUAAUACCUGGGACUCAUGACGGUACCUGAAGAAUAAGCUCCGGCUAACUACGUG
This 477-nucleotide ribosomal RNA is filed under the name uncultured bacterium. Its description in RNAcentral is "partial 16S ribosomal RNA". It matches the Rfam family "Bacterial small subunit ribosomal RNA", at positions 30 to 507 of the family's 1533-position model. The record is from RNAcentral.